UAAACACGUGCGGAAAACAUGAUCAAAAACUUGAGAGUCUGUGCGGCUCGUCGCUUAGCGGGUGCGGCAACUCAAUCUUCCAGAGGGGUCAUCUUGAGAGGGUGGCUCCGCCGACAAAUUAUGUGACGGACCGGAUGCGCU
Caenorhabditis elegans is the source of this 141-nucleotide non-coding RNA. NCBI's taxonomy places the organism in Eukaryota, Metazoa, Nematoda, Chromadorea, Rhabditida, Rhabditidae. The record is from Ensembl.